CAGCAGCCACGGGAAUACGGAGGGUGCGAGCGUUAAUCGGAAUUACUGGGCGUAAAGGGUGCGUAGGUGGUUAAUUAAGUUGUCUGUGAAAUUCCUGGGCUUAACCUGGGCAGGUCAGAUGAUACUGGUUGACUCGAGUAUAGGAGAGGGUAGUGGAAUUUCCGGUGUAGCGGUGAAAUGCGUAGAGAUCUGGAGGAAUACCGAUGGCGAAGGCAGCCAUCUGGCCUAAUACUGACGCUGAGGUACGAAAGCAUGGGGAGCAAACAGGAUUAGAUACCCGAGUAGUCCCUGUCUCUUAUAC
This 301-nucleotide ribosomal RNA is filed under the name uncultured bacterium. RNAcentral describes it as "partial 16S ribosomal RNA". It matches the Rfam family "Bacterial small subunit ribosomal RNA", at positions 509 to 807 of the family's 1533-position model. The record is from RNAcentral.